UUAACCGAAUAGGGGAGCCGGAGGGAAACCGAGUCUUAAUUGGGCGUUAAGUUGCAGGGUAUAGACCCGAAACCCGGUGAUCUAGCCAUGGGCAGGUUGAAGGUUGGGUAACACUAACUGGAGGACCGAACCGACUAAUGUUGAAAAAUUAGCGGAUGACCUGUGGCUGGGGGUGAAAGGCCAAUCAAACCGGGAGAUAGCUGGUUCUCCCCGAAAGCUAUUUAGGUAGCGCCUCGUGAACUCAUCUUCGGGGGUAGAGCACUGUUUCGGCUAGGGGGUCAUCCCGACUUACCAACCCGAUGCAAACUGCGAAUACCGAAGAAUGUUAUCACGGGAGACACACGGCGGGUGCUAACGUCCGUCGUGAAGAGGGAAACAACCCAGACCGCCAGCUAAGGUCCCAAAGUCAUGGUUAAGUGGGAAACGAUGUGGGAAGGCCCAGACAGCCAGGAUGUUGGCUUAGAAGCAGCCAUCAUUUAAAGAAAGCGUAAUAGCUCACUGGUCGAGUCGGCCUGCGCGGAAGAUGUAACGGGGCUAAACCAUGCACCGAAGCUGCGGCAGCGACGCUGAUGCGUUGUUGGGUAGGGGAGCGUUCUGUAAGCCUGUGAAGGUGGCCUGUGAGGGUUGCUGGAGGUAUCAGAAGUG
RNAcentral lists this ribosomal RNA (645 nucleotides) under Salmonella enterica subsp. enterica serovar Kentucky. Its description in RNAcentral is "bacterial LSU rRNA". It matches the Rfam family "Bacterial large subunit ribosomal RNA", at positions 646 to 1290 of the family's 2925-position model. The record is from RNAcentral. Lineage: Bacteria; Pseudomonadati; Pseudomonadota; Gammaproteobacteria; Enterobacterales; Enterobacteriaceae.